UAUAUGUGACUAGGUCUAUAAAUAUAUUUUUGUAGGAGGGGGCAGUACUUUUCAGCAGUUGCCGCCAUCUGUAGUGGGUGUAGAGACCAACAGCAGGGCGUCCUUCCCCCUAGUCCUGACUCAUGCCUCCAAUUAUGUUCUUCACAGGGUUGCAUUGCUUGGAGAUGCUGCUCACAGAAUCCACCCAUUGGCUGGUCAGGGAGUCAACCUGGGGUUUGGAGAUGUGGCCUGUCUACGGGACCUUCUGGCUGAAGCUGUCUCCAAUGGCAGUGAUGUAGGAUCCCUGUUGCACUUGACGCAGUACGAGACAAAUCGACAGCGAGCAGUAGUUCCUGUCCUGGCGACCGUUGACGGUCUACAGCGACUGUACACUACAGACUUUACACCUGUUGUCCUCCUUAGAUCACUUGGCCUUCAGGCCACUAACUCUAUGGGCUUUGUCAAGGACUACAUCAUGAGAGGGGCCUCUGGAUGAUUGGAUUUUCACAGAAAAUUAUCUAGUGAGUUGCAAAACUGAACUCUUAAUAUAUCGUGCUGUAUGAUGUCAGAUCUUUGUUAUUGUUGAACCCAAUAAAAUUAAACAACUUUUACAAUGUUGA
This is a long non-coding RNA of Mizuhopecten yessoensis (Yesso scallop), 599 nucleotides long. RefSeq lists it as uncharacterized. The record is from RefSeq and is a predicted model, not a curated record. The transcript has 4 exons. NCBI's taxonomy places the organism in Eukaryota, Metazoa, Mollusca, Bivalvia, Pectinida, Pectinidae.